RNAcentral lists this ribosomal RNA (776 nucleotides) under uncultured Neocallimastigales. RNAcentral describes it as "partial large subunit ribosomal RNA". It matches the Rfam family "Eukaryotic large subunit ribosomal RNA", at positions 20 to 616 of the family's 3401-position model. The record is from RNAcentral. Lineage: Eukaryota; Fungi; Neocallimastigomycota; Neocallimastigomycetes; Neocallimastigales.
UACUAGAGUAGCACUCGCAUAUCAAUAAGCGGAGGAAAAGAAACUAACAAGGAUUCCCCUAGUAACGGCGAGUGAAGCGGGAAGAGCUUAAAUUUGAAAUCUUAAAGGGUUUCCCUUUACGAAUUGUAGUUUAAAGAAGUGUUUUCUGUUGAGGUUUUGGUAAAAGUUCUUUGGAAUAGGACAUCAUAGAGGGUGAGAAUCCCGUAUUUGACCUUUACUUUCAACUUUGUGAUACACUUUCAAAGAGUCGGAUUGUUUGGGGAAUGCAGUCCAAAAUGGGUGGUAAAUUUCAUCCUAAAGCUAAAUAUUGGCGAGAGACCGAUAGCGAACAAGUACCGUGAGGGAAAGAUGAAAAGAACUUUGAAAAGAGAGUUAAACAGUACGUGGAAUUGUCAAAAGGGAAGCGUUUGACACCAGUGUUGUUUUUCUGAAAAUCAAUUAAAGAACUGUUUAUGCUAAGCUGUUUAGACUUUAUCAGCUAUCUGUUUAGUUUUGAGCUUUUCUUUAAUGCACUUUUCAGUUAACAAGUCAACAUCAAUUUCUUUUGCUGUAAAAAAGCUUGAGGAAGGUGGCUUGAGAUUCGUCUUAAGUGUUUAUAGCCUCUUGCCUAUGCAGUCGGAGAGAUUGAGGUCUGCAGCGUAGAUCCUUCGGGGCUAAAUGCAUUUGUGCUAAGUUAUAGCAUUUUAUAGACAACUUGUUGACUAUGAUUUGUCUUGUAGCUUACUCGCUUAUGUUAUUUUACCUACGCUUAGGAUGUUGAGCGCAUGUCUCUCUCU